RNAcentral lists this ribosomal RNA (468 nucleotides) under uncultured bacterium. RNAcentral's name for it is "partial 16S ribosomal RNA". It matches the Rfam family "Bacterial small subunit ribosomal RNA", at positions 28 to 507 of the family's 1533-position model. The record is from RNAcentral.
GACGAACGCUGGCGGCGUGCUUAACACAUGCAAGUCGAACGGAAAGGCCCUGCUUUUGUGGGGUGCUCGAGUGGCGAACGGGUGAGUAACACGUGAGUAACCUGCCCUUGACUUUGGGAUAACUCCAGGAAACUGGGGCUAAUACCGGAUAGGAGCUCCUGCUGCAUGGUGGGGGUUGGAAAGUUUCGGCGGUUGGGGAUGGACUCGCGGCUUAUCAGCUUGUUGGUGGGGUAGUGGCUUACCAAGGCUUUGACGGGUAGCCGGCCUGAGAGGGUGACCGGCCACAUUGGGACUGAGAUACGGCCCAGACUCCUACGGGAGGCAGCAGUGGGGAAUAUUGCACAAUGGGCGGAAGCCUGAUGCUGCAACUCCGCGUGCGGGAUGACGGCCUUCGGGUUGUAAACCGCUUUCGCCUGUGACGAAGCGUGAGUGACGGUAAUGGGUAAAGAAGCACCGGCUAACUACGUG